AAGUCGUAACAAGGUUUCCGUAGGUGAACCUGCGGAAGGAUCAUUAUCGUGGAGCUCCGGCUCCUUCGAGGGAGAACCCUUGCCUUUUCGAGCACCUGUUUGUUUCCUCGGCAGGCCCGCCUGCCAAUGGGGACCCCUUUAAACUCUUGCAAUAACCUGUACGAAAUCGUCUAAAUAAAACAAUAAAUUAAAACUUUCAACAACGGAUCUCUUGGUUCUG
This 220-nucleotide unclassified non-coding RNA is filed under the name Westerdykella sp. RNAcentral describes it as "partial internal transcribed spacer region". The stretch from base 1 to 46 matches the Rfam family "Eukaryotic small subunit ribosomal RNA", at positions 1786 to 1831 of the family's 1831-position model. Lineage: Eukaryota; Fungi; Ascomycota; Dothideomycetes; Pleosporales; Sporormiaceae. The record is from RNAcentral.